UGGGGAAUAUUGCACAAUGGUCGCAAGCCUGAUGCAGCCAUGCCGCGUGUAUGAAGAAGGCCUUCGGGUUGUAAAGUACUUUCAGCGGGGAGGAAGGGAGUAAAGUUAAUACCUUUGCUCAUUGACGUUACCCGCAGAAGAAGCACCGGCUAACUCCGUGCCAGCAGCCGCGGUAAUACGGAGGGUGCAAGCGUUAAUUGGAAUUACUGGGCGUAAAGCGCACGCAGGCGGUUUGUUAAGUCAGAUGUGAAAUCCCCGGGCUCAACCUGGGAACUGCAACUGAUACUGGCAAGCUUGAGUCUCGUAGAGGGGGGUAGAAUUCCAGGUGUAGCGGUGAAAUGCGUAGAGAUCUGGAGGAAUACCGGUGGCGAAGGCGGCCCCCUGGACGAAGACUGACGCUCAGGUGCGAAAGCGUGGGGAGCAAACAGG
Molecule: ribosomal RNA, 429 nt
Filed under: Chloroflexota bacterium
Lineage: Bacteria; Bacillati; Chloroflexota
Description: Chloroflexi bacterium partial 16S ribosomal RNA
Rfam family: Bacterial small subunit ribosomal RNA
Source: RNAcentral